Molecule: ribosomal RNA, 253 nt
Filed under: uncultured bacterium
Lineage: Bacteria
Description: partial 16S ribosomal RNA
Rfam family: Bacterial small subunit ribosomal RNA
Source: RNAcentral
UACAGAGGUCUCAAGCGUUGUUCGGAUUCAUUGGGCGUAAAGGGUGCGUAGGCGGCGCGGUAAGUCGGGUGUGAAAUUUCGAGGCUUAACUUCGAAACUGCAUUCGAUACUGCCGUGCUAGAGGACUGGAGAGGAGACUGGAAUUUACGGUGUAGCGGUGAAAUGCGUAGAUAUCGUAAGGAAGACCAGUGGCGAAGGCGGGUCUCUGGACAGUUCCUGACGCUGAGGCACGAAGGCCAGGGGAGCAAACAGG